UAAGGAAUAUUGGUCAAUGGACGCAAGUCUGAACCAGCCAUGCCGCGUGAAGGAUGAAGGUCCUCUGGAUUGUAAACUUCUUUUAUCUGGGACGAAAACGGGAUUUUUAUCUCAAUUGACGGUACCAGAGGAAUAAGCACCGGCUAACUCCGUGCCAGCAGCCGCGGUAAUACGGAGGGUGCGAGCGUUAUCCGGAUUUACUGGGUUUAAAGGGUGAGUAGGUGGGCUUAUAAGUCAGUGGUGAAAUCUCCGAGCUUAACUUGGAAACUGCCGUUCAUACUAUAGGUCUUGAAUUAUCUGGAGGUGAGCGGAAUAUGUCAUGUAGCGGUGAAAUGCUUAGAUAUGACAUAGAACACCAAUUGCGAAGGCAGCUUACUACAUAUAAAUUGACGCUGAGGCACGAAAGCGUGGGGAUCAAACA
Molecule: ribosomal RNA, 421 nt
Filed under: uncultured bacterium
Lineage: Bacteria
Description: bacterial SSU rRNA
Rfam family: Bacterial small subunit ribosomal RNA
Source: RNAcentral